RNAcentral lists this small nuclear RNA (79 nucleotides) under Homo sapiens (human). RNAcentral's name for it is "partial ncRNA". Lineage: Eukaryota; Metazoa; Chordata; Mammalia; Primates; Hominidae. The record is from RNAcentral.
AGAGAAUCACUUGAACCCAGGAGGCAGAGGUUGCAGUGAGCCGAAGUUGCACGACUGCACUCCAGCCUGGGCGACAGAG